This 301-nucleotide ribosomal RNA is filed under the name uncultured bacterium. RNAcentral describes it as "partial 16S ribosomal RNA". It matches the Rfam family "Bacterial small subunit ribosomal RNA", at positions 509 to 807 of the family's 1533-position model. The record is from RNAcentral.
CAGCCGCCACGGGAAUACGAAGGGUGCAAGCGUUAAUCGGAAUUACUGGGCGUAAAGCGUGCGUAGGCGGUGAGUUAAGUCUGCUGUGAAAUCCCCGGGCUCAACCUGGGAAUGGCAAUGGAUACUGGCAAGCUAGAGUGUGUCAGAGGAUGGUGGAAUUCCCGGUGUAGCGGUGAAAUGCGUAGAGAUCGGGAGGAACAUCAGUGGCGAAGGCGGCCAUCUGGGACAACACUGACGCUGAGGCACGAAAGCGUGGGGAGCAAACAGGAUUAGAUACCCCCGUAGUCCCUGUCUCUUAUAC